This 313-nucleotide long non-coding RNA is filed under the name Homo sapiens (human). Its description in RNAcentral is "LHRI_LNC1767.1". The record is from RNAcentral. Lineage: Eukaryota; Metazoa; Chordata; Mammalia; Primates; Hominidae.
CCUCCUGCUCCUUAAACAAAAGAACCUUUAGGGCAAUUGUCUAAAAGGAAACAACAUACCAGAAAUACAAUUCCUGGGUUAAAGCAAGCAAAGCUGCUUUUCUAAUAACUCCCAUUUUCUAUGCAUACCCUGGGUCCAGCAUUCCAUCUUCCAGGUAUGGUUAGAAAAGAGAUCAGACCUUAGUGACUGCUGGUGAAGUGAAUUGCAUGCUGCAGCCCCUCAUCAGCAUCUUUGUACAGCUCAGUUUCGUGUUUUCUGCAGAAUCAGGAGCUGACAAUCAAAAUGGCCCCUCACUCACAUUCAUUGGUCAGAC